GGGAGCCCCUUGGAAAGAUUUUCAGUAUCCAGUGGCUGGUUUUCAUGGGUGAAGGAUCGAGAGUUUGGUGGGAUAAUACAGGAGCCUGAGCCGUCUUGAUCAGGUCUCAGCGCAAAUGUCAUUUCCUAGAGUCAUAUCCUCCCAACACCUAUUUUCUUUGUAGUACUUGACGUGAUUUAAGGAACCUGUGACUCAUUCCCCAGGAAGGAGCAAUCUAGAACCGUACUUCUAGCUACCCUCCCACCAGCUUUCCUGGUGCUGCUCCCAAGAGGAGAAGUGAUGGCCAAUCUGAUUGGAAAGACAGGGUGAGAAGGUCCUUCCUGGGCCCCCUAUGCCAGAUAUUGUGGGGCAUAACUGUGUUGCCUGGCAAGUUAACAGCAUUUUUGCAGCUAUGCUGCCAGUCUUGAAGGUGGCAGAAUGGAGAGAGGAAAAGAACUUCCAUCCUUAAUGAUGCUGCUGAUCUGCUGAUUCAGCUCUGUCCUUGCCCACCUACCUCUCAAAUUAUUGUUUUGUGAGAUUACUAAAUUCCUUUCUGUUUAAAACCACUUUUAAUGGAGGUAUUCUGUUACUUGUAACUGAAAGCAACUGGACUGAAACAUUACUACAUUAUGCUGCCUCCCAGAAAAUUUAAUUAUUAAAACCUGGGGUUUUGA
Bos taurus (domestic cattle) is the source of this 653-nucleotide long non-coding RNA. The record is from Ensembl. Lineage: Eukaryota; Metazoa; Chordata; Mammalia; Artiodactyla; Bovidae.